UACGUAGGGGGCCAGCGUUGUCCGAAGUUACUGGGCGUAAAGAGCGCGUAGGCGGGCCCUUAAGUGGGGGGUGAAAGGUUGGGGCUCAACCCCAACACUGCCUUUCAUCACUGGGGGCCUUGAGUGCGGGAGAGGCGAGUGGAAUGGUCGGUGUAGCGGUGAAAUGCGCAGAUAUCAGGAGGAACACCGGUGGCGAAGGCGGGUCUCUGGGCCGAUGACUGACACUGAGAGACGAAAGCUUAGGGGGAGCGAACAGGAAUUGAGAAACCC
This 270-nucleotide ribosomal RNA is filed under the name uncultured bacterium. Its description in RNAcentral is "partial 16S ribosomal RNA". It matches the Rfam family "Bacterial small subunit ribosomal RNA", at positions 524 to 787 of the family's 1533-position model. The record is from RNAcentral.